This 2923-nucleotide ribosomal RNA is filed under the name Klebsiella pneumoniae. Its description in RNAcentral is "bacterial LSU rRNA". It matches the Rfam family "Bacterial large subunit ribosomal RNA". The record is from RNAcentral. Lineage: Bacteria; Pseudomonadati; Pseudomonadota; Gammaproteobacteria; Enterobacterales; Enterobacteriaceae.
GGGUUGUGAGGUUAAGCGACUAAGCGUACACGGUGGAUGCCCUGGCAGUCAGAGGCGAUGAAGGACGUGCUAAUCUGCGAAAAGCGUCGGUAAGGUGAUAUGAACCGUUACAGCCGGCGAUGUCCGAAUGGGGAAACCCAGUGCAAUUCGUUGCACUAUCGUUAACUGAAUACAUAGGUUAACGAGGCGAACCGGGGGAACUGAAACAUCUAAGUACCCCGAGGAAAAGAAAUCAACCGAGAUUCCCCCAGUAGCGGCGAGCGAACGGGGAGCAGCCCAGAGUCUGAAUCAGCUUGUGUGUUAGUGGAACGGUCUGGAAAGUCCGACGGUACAGGGUGAUAGUCCCGUACACCAAAAUGCACAGGCUGUGAACUCGAAGAGUAGGGCGGGACACGUGGUAUCCUGUCUGAAUAUGGGGGGACCAUCCUCCAAGGCUAAAUACUCCUGACUGACCGAUAGUGAACCAGUACCGUGAGGGAAAGGCGAAAAGAACCCCGGCGAGGGGAGUGAAAAAGAACCUGAAACCGUGUACGUACAAGCAGUGGGAGCACCUUCGGGUGUGACUGCGUACCUUUUGUAUAAUGGGUCAGCGACUUAUAUUCUGUAGCAAGGUUAACCGUAUAGGGGAGCCGCAGGGAAACCGAGUCUUAACUGGGCGUUAAGUUGCAGGGUAUAGACCCGAAACCCGGUGAUCUAGCCAUGGGCAGGUUGAAGGUUGGGUAACACUAACUGGAGGACCGAACCGACUAAUGUUGAAAAAUUAGCGGAUGACUUGUGGCUGGGGGUGAAAGGCCAAUCAAACCGGGAGAUAGCUGGUUCUCCCCGAAAGCUAUUUAGGUAGCGCCUCGUGAACUCAUCUUCGGGGGUAGAGCACUGUUUCGGCUAGGGGGUCAUCCCGACUUACCAACCCGAUGCAAACUACGAAUACCGAAGAAUGUUAUCACGGGAGACACACGGCGGGUGCUAACGUCCGUCGUGAAGAGGGAAACAACCCAGACCGCCAGCUAAGGUCCCAAAGUCAUGGUUAAGUGGGAAACGAUGUGGGAAGGCACAGACAGCCAGGAUGUUGGCUUAGAAGCAGCCAUCAUUUAAAGAAAGCGUAAUAGCUCACUGGUCGAGUCGGCCUGCGCGGAAGAUGUAACGGGGCUAAACCAUGCACCGAAGCUGCGGCAGCGACACUAUGUGUUGUUGGGUAGGGGAGCGUUCUGUAAGCCUGCGAAGGUGACCUGUGAGGGUUGCUGGAGGUAUCAGAAGUGCGAAUGCUGACAUAAGUAACGAUAAAGCGGGUGAAAAGCCCGCUCGCCGGAAGACCAAGGGUUCCUGUCCAACGUUAAUCGGGGCAGGGUGAGUCGACCCCUAAGGCGAGGCCGAAAGGCGUAGUCGAUGGGAAACAGGUUAAUAUUCCUGUACUUGGUGUUACUGCGAAGGGGGGACGGAGAAGGCUAUGUUAGCCGGGCGACGGUUGUCCCGGUUUAAGCAUGUAGGCUGGUUAUCCAGGCAAAUCCGGAUAAUCAAGGCUGAGGUGUGAUGACGAGGUACUACGGUGCUGAAGUAACAAAUGCCCUGCUUCCAGGAAAAGCCUCUAAGCAUCAGGUAACAUUAAAUCGUACCCCAAACCGACACAGGUGGUCAGGUAGAGAAUACCAAGGCGCUUGAGAGAACUCGGGUGAAGGAACUAGGCAAAAUGGUGCCGUAACUUCGGGAGAAGGCACGCUGGUGUGUAGGUGAAGUCCCUGCGGAUGGAGCUGAGACCAGUCGAAGAUACCAGCUGGCUGCAACUGUUUAUUAAAAACACAGCACUGUGCAAACACGAAAGUGGACGUAUACGGUGUGACGCCUGCCCGGUGCCGGAAGGUUAAUUGAUGGGGUUAUCCGUAAGGAGAAGCUCUUGAUCGAAGCCCCGGUAAACGGCGGCCGUAACUAUAACGGUCCUAAGGUAGCGAAAUUCCUUGUCGGGUAAGUUCCGACCUGCACGAAUGGCGUAAUGAUGGCCAGGCUGUCUCCACCCGAGACUCAGUGAAAUUGAACUCGCUGUGAAGAUGCAGUGUACCCGCGGCAAGACGGAAAGACCCCGUGAACCUUUACUAUAGCUUGACACUGAACAUUGAGCCUUGAUGUGUAGGAUAGGUGGGAGGCUUUGAAGCGUGGACGCCAGUCUGCGUGGAGCCAACCUUGAAAUACCACCCUUUAAUGUUUGAUGUUCUAACGUUGGCCCCUGACCGGGGUUGCGGACAGUGUCUGGUGGGUAGUUUGACUGGGGCGGUCUCCUCCCAAAGCGUAACGGAGGAGCACGAAGGUUAGCUAAUCCUGGUCGGACAUCAGGAGGUUAGUGCAAUGGCAUAAGCUAGCUUGACUGCGAGCGUGACGGCGCGAGCAGGUGCGAAAGCAGGUCAUAGUGAUCCGGUGGUUCUGAAUGGAAGGGCCAUCGCUCAACGGAUAAAAGGUACUCCGGGGAUAACAGGCUGAUACCGCCCAAGAGUUCAUAUCGACGGCGGUGUUUGGCACCUCGAUGUCGGCUCAUCACAUCCUGGGGCUGAAGUAGGUCCCAAGGGUAUGGCUGUUCGCCAUUUAAAGUGGUACGCGAGCUGGGUUUAGAACGUCGUGAGACAGUUCGGUCCCUAUCUGCCGUGGGCGCUGGAGAAUUGAGGGGGGCUGCUCCUAGUACGAGAGGACCGGAGUGGACGCAUCACUGGUGUUCGGGUUGUCAUGCCAAUGGCACUGCCCGGUAGCUAAAUGCGGAAGAGAUAAGUGCUGAAAGCAUCUAAGCACGAAACUUGCCCCGAGAUGAGUUCUCCCUGAGACUUUAAGUCUCCUGAAGGAACGUUAAAGACGAUGACGUUGAUAGGCCGGGUGUGUAAGCGCAGCGAUGCGUUGAGCUAACCGGUACUAAUGAACCGUGAGGCUUAACCUUACAACGCCGAAG